CGAAAGCCUGACGGAGCAAUACCGCGUGAGGGAGGAAGGUCUGUGGAUUGUAAACCUCUUUUGAUAGGGAAGAAGUUCUGACGGUACCUAUCGAAUCAGCAUCGGCUAACUCCGUGCCAGCAGCCGCGGUAAUACGGAGGAUGCAAGCGUUAUCCGGAAUUAUUGGGCGUAAAGCGUCCGUAGGUGGUUAGACAAGUCUAUUGUCAAAGCCCGGGGCUUAACCCUGGAGAGGCAGUGGAAACUGUUGGACUAGAGUGCGGUAGGGGCAGAGGGAAUUCCCAGUGUAGCGGUGAAAUGCGUAGAUAUUGGGAAGAACACCGGUGGCGAAAGCGCUCUGCUGGGCCUGCACUGACACUGAGGGACGAAAGCU
RNAcentral lists this ribosomal RNA (370 nucleotides) under uncultured cyanobacterium. Its description in RNAcentral is "bacterial SSU rRNA". It matches the Rfam family "Bacterial small subunit ribosomal RNA", at positions 376 to 761 of the family's 1533-position model. The record is from RNAcentral. Lineage: Bacteria; Bacillati; Cyanobacteriota.